This 184-nucleotide ribosomal RNA is filed under the name Escherichia coli. Its description in RNAcentral is "partial 16S ribosomal RNA". It matches the Rfam family "Bacterial small subunit ribosomal RNA", at positions 1 to 176 of the family's 1533-position model. The record is from RNAcentral. Lineage: Bacteria; Pseudomonadati; Pseudomonadota; Gammaproteobacteria; Enterobacterales; Enterobacteriaceae.
UUAAAUUGAAGAGUUUGAUCAUGGCUCAGAUUGAACGCUGGCGGCAGGCCUAACACAUGCAAGUCGAACGGUAACAGGAAACAGCUUGCUGUUUCGCUGACGAGUGGCGGACGGGUGAGUAAUGUCUGGGAAACUGUCUGAUGGAGGGGGAUAACUACUGGAAACGGUAGCUAAUACCGCAUAA